Perkinsus marinus ATCC 50983 is the source of this 72-nucleotide non-coding RNA. Lineage: Eukaryota; Perkinsozoa; Perkinsida; Perkinsidae. The record is from Rfam.
GGCCCUGUGGCGCAACGGUAGCGCAUCUGACUCCAGAUCAAAAGGUUGUCCGUUCGAAUCGGGCCGGGGUCA